AUUUUUUUCUUUCAAUAUUACGAUUCUUUGGUUUAUGGCCCCGAUAUAUUAUUUUGACUUGUAAAUGUGAGAAACUAACAAAUACCAAGACGUUUGUAUACCAAUUUUGCAAAUAAAGUCCGCCAUUUACACUAUCUAGGUGUAUUCAAGUUUAAUAAAUAAAUAAUACCUAAAUUUUAUCUUUUAAUCAUCUCACAAAUAACAACAGAUAUUGGUACAUAUCUACUCAAAAAAAGAAAACAAAA
Molecule: long non-coding RNA, 245 nt
Organism: Galleria mellonella (greater wax moth)
Lineage: Eukaryota; Metazoa; Arthropoda; Insecta; Lepidoptera; Pyralidae
Exons: 2
Source: RefSeq, a predicted model, not a curated record